AAGAGUGGCUAAAUGAA
Molecule: small RNA, 17 nt
Filed under: Arabidopsis thaliana (thale cress)
Lineage: Eukaryota; Viridiplantae; Streptophyta; Magnoliopsida; Brassicales; Brassicaceae
Description: ATSL026230
Source: RNAcentral